Long non-coding RNA from Megalobrama amblycephala (Wuchang bream), 2770 nucleotides. RefSeq lists it as uncharacterized. The transcript has 2 exons. Lineage: Eukaryota; Metazoa; Chordata; Actinopteri; Cypriniformes; Xenocyprididae. The record is from RefSeq and is a predicted model, not a curated record.
UUCCGAAGAUGAACGAAGGUCUUACAGGUGUGGGACGACAUGAGGAUGUGUAAUUAAUGACAGAAUUUUCAUUUUUGGGUGAACUAACAUUUUAACAAUUCGAAGAAACAUUUUACACUAUAAAGAACCUUCUGUGUAUUGAAAAGGUUUAAUGAAUGUUAAAGGUUCUUCAUGAACAACAGACGCCAAUAAAGAACCUUUAUUUAACCUAAUGUUAUUUUGUGUUUCAGUGAUGACAGAAAGUCUUAGAAUAACAUUAAAAAGUGAGUAGAUGAUGACAGAAUUUAAGCAGAAAUAUACCACCAAUAUCAUGCUUAACCGGGAUGUGUGUGGAAACGUGCUCUGUUUGUGGAUUCCUCAGUGCAGAUGUGUCAGAUCAUUGAAGAUCUGCCCCAUGAAAGAGGUUUAUUUAUUUACGUGGCUGGAUUUCACUGUGUCUUUUGUGAAAGUGGCCAUGGCUAGCAGUGAAGUCUGUCGCUGUGCCCACUGCAGCUGCUGUGGCUUUCCUCUGCGGACACUACUACACAAUAGACAGCUUUGUACCACCGGUCCUCGGCUUCAAUGAGAUGUGAACAUUGAUAUGCUUUUAAAAAGAAAAAAAUGAUCAUUCUUUUAACGUCAAAUGUCAAAAAUGUGUAUAUUAAAACAUGCAAUAUGUUGCAUGUAUGCAUGUAUCUUGUAUCUACUGGAGAAGCCAUCUUAAAUGAGGUCUCACUCAAAAGCGAAAAAAAAACCCCAACAACUCAAUUUCAUAAAAGCAUAAUGAUAUAGAGUAGGGCUUGGCCAUAUAUUACAUAUAUAUUACAUAUAGAUAUUUGAUUUCGAUGUUAUAAAAUCAUGAAUAUCGUGAUCAUUUCAAUUAACCUGAAAUCAGAUACUUAAAGACUGUGCUGGUUGACCAAUUUCUCACCCUGAGGUUUAUAUUUUGUCAGUUACUGACAAAAUAUACAGUAAAAUAUAUAUUUUACUCUAACCAGAAUCACUUGAAUGCACACCACAUUUUCAUAACUUCCAAAUUUGUCAGUUUGAACUUCUGUAAUAUGCCUAAAUGGAACAUCAGUCCUUUUUGGGCAAACUAAAUUGUUCCAUAUGGUAAACUGAAAUCCCAACAGCAUUUAAUUAAAUGAUUAAGAAUUAUAAGUAAUUAUUGACUUCUUAGAUGCAAUACCCUGCACUGUACCCACAACCAAACCUCUCUUCAUCCCAGAGCUGUGGUCUAUGUAGCACGUGUGUGUAAAAGUCAUUUAGAUCUGUCUCACGUUGAGAGGGUUGAAGGUCUGAGCUCUGAUCUCACAGCAGAGCUUUGACCUGCUGCGCUGAGAUGAGAAGAGUCUGUUGUUUAACAUCUGACAGCUGGAAAAAUGGGCCGAGCAUAAAAUAUCAACUAUGUGUUUAUCUUUAGAGAUUGAAUUCUAGAAAAUGCUUAAUCGUUCAUACACCAACUUGGUUAGCUGACUCAUUCAAGAGUUCAAUAUCUGUGGUCUUUAAAUGCAGAAUGCAUGAUUGUCUCCCUCUAGCACAAACACAACUGGUGUCAAACCUGCUUUAAAUCAGUAAUGCCUAAUUAAACAGGUGGAUUCUUUGUUUAAAUCUUGUUUAAAUUUUGCGACACCUGAUCAUUUACAGGUACUGUAGCAUUUGUUCUAAGAGGCAGGGCUUACAACACGAGGAAUGAAAAUUUGCAUUAUCUUUUUUAAAACCAUACAGCAAUAUAAAAAUAUGACUUCCUCCACAUUGUGAGAUCACUGUGGAACCUAUUAGCACACAACUGCCUCCACAGCAACACAUCAUGGCUACUUUAGCAUUAUUGUGAUUUCACAUAUAUAACGAUAUCCUGUCUCCAUAUGGACUUUGCCACAGUUGGUCACAAGAUUCUGCUUGACUGCAGAACAGUGCUGGCCUAUCACAUCCAGUCCUAUACUGGUUUAGAUCCUGAUUAAGUAGCUGGGGAUAAGUACUGUAUGUUGAACGAGGCACACACACCUCCACAAACCAUGUGAUAUUUUGAGGUGUCCCCCAAGGCUCAAUUCUGGGUCCUUUAUUUCUUUUUUUAUUACAUAUGUUUUCGAGCAUUAAUCGUUAAAUGAUCACAAUCUCAAUUUAAAUACCUAUGCAAGCUUAUUGCUAAAUGACAACGAUUUGCCUGUUUCUAUUAAACCUUUGACAAAAUCACAUUGAAUAUUCAGAUCUGCGUUGAUGCUGCCGCUGACCCAGAGAGAGCAGUUGUCACGUAUGAAACAGCUUCAUAAACAGUCUUUUCAACCACACGGUAUCAUUAUUUCUGUCUUACAAUAAUUCAAAUUAUCACAAAAUUACUGGCUUAAAAGUUUAUGGUUUGGAUAUAAACACUGAUGUCUAAGGUGGCGAAUAAAAUAAAGUAAAACUCCUGUUGAAAGUAACUUGAGGAUUACAAUAAAAAUUGUGUCAAUUACAUCGUUACAACACUGUAAACAAUUAUUUUCAUGAUUUAUCAUAACAUUUUUUCUUUCGUUAAAUCACCUUAUAUAAUUAAUGUAGUUCAGAUAACAUGAUAUUUUGUGUUUCUGUUGAUUAAACCAAUCACCUUCAAUGAAAUCAAAAUUUCAAGGCAACCAGGUAACUUACUUUAAGUUAAACCAACAAUUCUUUUUUUUUUUUUACAGUGAGGUGGUGACAAGUGAUUGUUAAAAAAUGUGUUUGUCAUUGAAUCAUUCGUUUCAAAAAAGCUGAUUCAUCCAACAAUGAAAUAAUAUUGUUGAGUGAAUCAUUAAAUCAUACAUUCAAACCAAUU